RNAcentral lists this non-coding RNA (45 nucleotides) under Schistosoma margrebowiei. The record is from RNAcentral. Lineage: Eukaryota; Metazoa; Platyhelminthes; Trematoda; Strigeidida; Schistosomatidae.
AUCCAACCGACAAGUCCCAAAUAGGACGAAAUGUGCAUCCUUGAU